CCUACGGGUGUCUGCAGUGAGGAAUAUUGGUCAAUGGGCGUAAGCCUGAACCAGCCAAGUCGCGUGAGGGAUGAAGGUUCUAUGGAUCGUAAACCUCUUUUAUAAGGGAAUAAAGUGUGGGACGUGUCCUGUUUUGUAUGUACCUUAUGAAUAAGGAUCGGCUAACUCCGUGCCAGCAGCCGCGGUAAUACGGAGGAUACGAGCGUUAUCCGGAUUUUUUGGGUUUAAAGGGUGCGUAGGCGGCCUUUUAAGUCAGCGGGGAAAGUCGGGGGACCAACCAUAGAAUUGCCGUUGAAACUGGGAGGCUUGAGUAUGUGUGAGGCAGGCGGAAUGCGUGGUGUAGCGGUGAAAUGCUUAGAUAUCACGCAGAACCCCGAUUGCGAAGGCAGCCUGCCAAGCCAUGACUGACGCUGAUGCACGAAAGCGUGGGGAUCAAACAGGAUUAGAUACCCUUGUAGUC
This 460-nucleotide ribosomal RNA is filed under the name uncultured bacterium. RNAcentral describes it as "partial 16S ribosomal RNA". It matches the Rfam family "Bacterial small subunit ribosomal RNA", at positions 338 to 795 of the family's 1533-position model. The record is from RNAcentral.